This 433-nucleotide ribosomal RNA is filed under the name uncultured bacterium. RNAcentral's name for it is "partial 16S ribosomal RNA". It matches the Rfam family "Bacterial small subunit ribosomal RNA", at positions 29 to 507 of the family's 1533-position model. The record is from RNAcentral.
AACGAACGCUGGCGGCAUGCCUAACACAUGCAAGUCGAACGAAGCCUUCGGGUCUAUUGGCGUUCGAGUUCAUAGCGCGUGGGAACCUUCCCUUGUGGUCGGAAUAACUCCCCGAAAGGGGUUCUAAUGCCGGAUAAGGGCUUCUGACCAAAGAUUUAUCGCAUUUGGAUGGUCCCGCGUGGGAUUAGCCAUUUGGUAGGCUAAAAGCCUACUAAGGCGACGAUCCAUAGCUGGUCUGAGAGGAUGCUCAGCCACACUGGGAGUGAGACACGGCCCAGAAUCCUACGGGAGGGAGCAGUGGGGAAUAUUGGACAAUGGGCGAAAGUCUGAUACAGCAAUGGAGCGUGAAUGAUGAAGGUCUUAGGGUUGUAAAGCUCUUUUAACCGGGAUGAUAAUGACAGUACCGGGAGAAUAAGCUCAGGCUAACCCCGUG